UUUCCGUAGGUGAACCUGCGGAAGGAUCAUUAAUGAGUUGUCAUGGGGUUCGAUGCUGGCAGCCAGUUUUUGGAUGCAUGUGCUUGCCCUAACAAUCAUCUUCUUCCAAACACCUGUGCACAUUUUUGAGGAAGUCUUGAGUUGGUUGCCGCUCUUGGGUGAUUUUCUCACAUUCCCUUAAAUCAUUAUACGCUAUUAACAAUGUUGAACGUGCUCUGUGCCGCAAGGCUAUUAAUAUAAUACAACUUUUAACAACGGAUCUCUUGGCUCUC
This 272-nucleotide unclassified non-coding RNA is filed under the name plant metagenome. RNAcentral describes it as "partial contains small subunit ribosomal RNA, internal transcribed spacer 1, and 5.8S ribosomal RNA". The record is from RNAcentral.